AAGUCGUAACAAGGUAACCGUAGGUGAACCUGCGGUUGGAUCAUUAACAAAAACUUAAUGAAUCUGAGCCUCUCCGUACCUUUCGAGGACUUUACGGUCCGAGGAGGGGAAAGAGGGUUCAAACACCCCAAACCUGUGAACUGUUUUACUGUGUAUCCAUUGUCUCUCUUACCCUUAGGGGUUAGAGGCUCUAAGGAGGCAUCAGUGUAUGUGGCGAGAGGAAGCAAUUCAGCUCGCCUGUACAUAAAGUGUCGCCCUUAAGGUCUCUCUCCCCAUCACGGGGGUUAGAGCAAGGCAUUGGACCCCUACAAACAAACAUUCUUAUAAACAAGUGACUUUUUUUAAAGCUUGAAGAAAGUCUUCUUUUUCCUUCGGGGAAAUGAGAUAACCUAAAAGUAUAAAAGAAAACAACUUUUGACAACGGAUCUCUUGGCUCUC
RNAcentral lists this unclassified non-coding RNA (438 nucleotides) under fungal sp. RNAcentral describes it as "partial internal transcribed spacer region". The stretch from base 1 to 46 matches the Rfam family "Eukaryotic small subunit ribosomal RNA", at positions 1786 to 1831 of the family's 1831-position model. Lineage: Eukaryota; Fungi. The record is from RNAcentral.